RNAcentral lists this unclassified non-coding RNA (1841 nucleotides) under Centruroides sculpturatus (bark scorpion). RNAcentral's name for it is "maltose permease-like, transcript variant X2". The record is from RNAcentral. Lineage: Eukaryota; Metazoa; Arthropoda; Arachnida; Scorpiones; Buthidae.
GUAAUUCUAUUAAGUAUUCUAUUACUACAGACUGAUAUGUAGAGCCUAUAUAAGAAAACUGUAAUCUAUUUAUUUAGUAUUUGGCGUUUACCAAGGAACCAAUCCGUGGAGAUAAGAAAAUUGACUAUCGAAAGGGAAAUGCUACCAAUGAAACUUCAUUACCUCUUCUAUUCAUUAGCUGCGGCAUCCAUUUUAAAUUACCUUUCACUAAUUACCAAAAACAUUGGAAUUAGUGCAACAGGAUUUGGUGUUACGUUUAUGAUAGUUCCAUUUAUUACCGUUUUUAUGAACCCAAUAUUUGGUUUCAUUACCGAUAAAUUCAAGGAAAUUAAAUUUAUCAUCAUGUUUCUUGUUGUUUUAAUUACACCAUCUUUAUUUUUUAUUAAUUUCAUUCCCGAAAUCAUAAAAGAAAAACACAUCUUUUCUGAUGUAAAAUUACAUUGUAAUAAAUAUAAUACGUCUCAAUUUCUAAUGAACAGUACGAAUGAAUGUCAAGUAGAAUGUUUAUAUUGUAAUAAUAGUGAUAUAUCAUGCCGAAAAGUAUAUAAAUUAACCACUAAACAAUUUUCUAAUAACACACAAGCCUUAGAAAUACAGAACAUCACCUUCCAGUAUAAUAAUCGUACGUCUUCUAUCUGUUUUAAUGAAUUACAAGAUGAUUGUAUUGCCUCGUGUUCUAUAGAAGAUCGAGUAAUCAAUUCAUUUCAUCACUACCAAUUUUGGUUAUUUGUAAUUUUAUCAAUCACAUCUAUUAUUGUCUCCAAUGGUAUCACAUCUUUAACAGAUGCUGCUUGUUACGAAUUUCUAAAUGGACGUGUUAAUCAGUUUGGCAAACAAAGAUUAUGGCUUUCACUUGGUUGGGGAGUUUUAUCUUUGGCUACGGGAUCCAUUGUAGAUGCCGUAAACGUUAGCACAGAUAAAACUGAUUUUUCAAUAUGUUCUUAUAUAAUGUUACCUUUAAUGCUCUGCGACAUUAUUGUAUUGAAAUUUACAGACAUAAGAAAAGAAAAAUCUUCGAGUAAUAUACUAAGAGAUAUUCAGAAAAUAUUCGUAAAACCUCAUCCCAUUUUCUUCAUCACAGCUGUAUUUCUUAUGGGUGUAUUCUCUAGUUUACAGUCUAAUUAUGCUUAUUGGUUUUUGGAAGAAAUUGGUGCUAGUAAGUUAUUAUUGGGAAUAAGUACAGCAAUUCAAUGUUUUUGUGGUGAUAUUCCAUUUAUGUUCGUUUCUGGAUGGAUUAUCAAAAGAAUUGGAAGAGAUAACAGCAUGUGUUUAGCUUUCAUUGCGUUUUCAAUUUCGUUUUUAGGUAUUUCUUUUAUCUACGAACCUUGGUUGAUUUUAUUACCGUAUUUAGUACAGGGUCCUACUUACGGUCUGUUUUAUGCAACGAUGACUUCAUAUGGAAAAAUAAUAGCUCCAGAUGGAACGGAGGCAAGCAUGCAAACCAUGCUAGGAGCAGCUUUUCAUGGUUUAGGUGUAGGCACUGGAAGUUUAUUAGGAGGCUUUGGUUUUGAUAAUUAUGGUGGCCGAUUGACAUAUCGUUUUAUGGGAUAUAUUUCUUUAGCUUCAGUUGUAGUUUACAAAUGCAUUACGGUGUUUGUAGCAGGAGAAAAUUUCAUGAUUAAAGAGAAAUUACGAAGAUGAUCUGCCAAAAGUGGACUAUCAACAAGAAAUUGUUACCAAUGAAACUCCAUUAUUUAUUCUAUUCGUUAGCAAUAGGAUCAGCAUUGAUUUAUUUUCCACUAAUAGCCAAAAACAUUGGAAUAAGUGCUACAGGAUUGGGUGUAAUGUUCACAGUUGUUCCCUUCGUCACUACACUAAUCAAUCCAUUAUUCGGAUGUAUC